CAGCCCUAGCCACCCCAUCCUUUUCCUCCCACAUAGCAUAGGCCUUAAGGGUUUCAGCCUUUUCCUGUACCACAACUGGUUUCUCAUACUGUAACACCGGCCACAGACCCUUAACCGUAAGCCACAGUUUCAUCUUUUUCUGCCAGCGAGAAAAGGAAACUCCCCCACCAAAUUUAUCGGGAAUACCCGAUAAAUCGAUAGGCUGUGGGAAACGAUACGUAGUCCAGUCGAUGUUACCAGUAACACCAGACCCAGAACCAGUAGCACCAACAACCGAAUCACCAAUUUCGUUAACCAUCUUGCUUACUACGCAAUAUAACCAUUAAUCACUUCAAGAUUGUUGGAAAAAAAAUAACAGUGAAUAUCACAGCAACAAUGUGUAGAGCAGUUAUAUUAUAUAAGCAAGAACAGGCAAACAAAAUCACAACUAUAUAGCAUGCACGAAGAUCAUAUACACAAUUAAUCAGCGACUGAUAAAUAACAAGAAAAGACAAGAAAGGCGUACCUUACACCGACGCUCGAAAAAGAGCACUGAACAGCUAAGUCACCUAGCCCUUAGACCGUCGCUCGAAAAAGAGCACUGAACAGCUGAGUCACCUAGCCCUUCGAUGAAGACUAGGCUGUUCUUGAAGUGAUUAUUGCCCCACUCCGCUGUGAUGGGUGUCGCAAUAUCGCUCCCAGGAUAAAACAGCACAGACCGAACCGCUCACAGACACGGAAACGAUCAACAACGACUAGCACCUCAAUUCGCCCAAAAAAUCUAUGCAACUCAUAUACGUUUGCAAGAUAGGCACUUAGAGAUCCUACUUAGAAAAUUCUCAAUUUGCCCAAAAAAAAUCUUUGCAACUAAUUCACGUUUGCAAGAUAGGCACUAAGAGAAUUCUCCCUUAAAAAAAUCUCAAGUGUACUUCUCUUUAUAUAGGGACAAGUAGUUGCUCUCUUACUAUUUUACUCGAUGUGGGAUCAAGUCACAAAAUAGUAAAACAAAACAAAACAGGUUUUGUUCAUUAUUUAUAUUGUUCAGAUUACUUAAUAUUAAUAUUAUAUAAUAUAUUCAGAGUCUAAUUAUUUAAAAUAAUCCCGACUCAAUAUAUUUAAUAUUAAUAAUAAAAUAAUCAAUAUAAAUAAACUUGUAAAAGAUACAGAAGUUUUUACUAGCACUAGGCCACACAAGCAUUCCACUUGUAUUAGUAGUUGUAAACACACUAAUACAAGAUGCUAUAUAAACUCCAUAAUUUUCUUUUACAAAAUCAAUGUGGGACUAAAACCACAUAACCCAUUUCAACUGAGCAACUUUGCCUCAAUAUAUUUAUGGAUUUCACUAAGAAAAUAUCUUAGAUCCAAAUACGAAAGUUUAAGUCCUCAUAGCAAGGAACAACCUCCAACUAUUAGUUUCCGGAAAUUACAUCAAGAACAUAUAUAAAAUAUGACUCAAACUUUUCCAUUUUCUAACACA
RNAcentral lists this long non-coding RNA (1456 nucleotides) under Daucus carota (carrot). Its description in RNAcentral is "long non-coding RNA (DCAR_LNC006414)". The record is from RNAcentral. Lineage: Eukaryota; Viridiplantae; Streptophyta; Magnoliopsida; Apiales; Apiaceae.